ACCGUGCAAAGGUAGCAUAAUCACUUGUCUAUUAAUUGUAGACUAGAAUGAAAGGACAAACGAAAAUAAAGCUGUCUCCUUUAAGCACUUAAAAUUUUAUAUCCGAGUGAAGAAGCUCAGAUAAAUCUGCAGGACAAGAAGACCCUAUAGAGCUUUACCUUAACCGCUUAUUACUAAAGCGCCACGGUUCGGUUGGGGCGACCGGGGGACAUUUAUCUCCCCCAUUUUUUGUGACUCACCAGUCUCUAAAACGAUCCUUAUUCAAGAUCAUUGGAUCAAGCUACCUUAGGGAUAACAGGCUAAUCCUCUUUUGAGAGCCCUUAUCGACAAGAGGG
RNAcentral lists this ribosomal RNA (335 nucleotides) under Ilyodrilus sp. IlyC_Hap3. RNAcentral's name for it is "partial 16S ribosomal RNA". It matches the Rfam family "Bacterial large subunit ribosomal RNA", at positions 1945 to 2516 of the family's 2925-position model. The record is from RNAcentral. Lineage: Eukaryota; Metazoa; Annelida; Clitellata; Tubificida; Naididae.